UUCACUUUUUUAUUUUUUUAAUUUUCCAUUUAUUUCUUCUAACCUUAUUUCAUCCGAGCCCUAGGUUUCUCUUCAGCCUCCCAUUUGCCUCCAUCUCUAUUCUCGUUCUCAACCUAUUGCACCACAGCCACCACCAUCACUCCACCCCAUAUCCUCACACCACCACUGAAGCCAACCCCUCUCUCUUUGUUCGAGCUCUCUGCUAUGGGUUUUUCGGCGAGAUCUCUGGCCAAACCUCGGCCUCUCACUCUCGAUCUCAUCUCUUCUCCAUCGGCUUCGUCUCCGGCCGACCCUCGGCCAAGGAGAUAACAUUCUCAUCUCGCCGCCAUCCACCGCUGCAAUUUUCGCUCAUCUUCUUCGGCGAAUCUCAGGCGUCAUCUCAUCGUUCUCGGGUUGGUCUCUCUCUCGGAUUUUUCUCUUCAUUCCUUUGCUCUUCUCUCUAUCUUUCGGGCACUGUGAGAUAGUGAAAGUAGAGACUGGCAAGUUAUAGGCACCUUGGGAGUGACUGCACUUGGAUGGAGCACUUGGUCAGAUAUCUAAUUUCUUGGAUGUUCUAAAUUUCUAAUAUAGUGUAUGUGUGUGUGUGUGUGUGUUUUUUUUCUUUUUCAGUUGUAAUUUUACAUUAUUCAAAGCACGUAGAUCUUAUAAUUAGCUCAAAAGAGGGAUUUUACGUAUAUUUAGACAGCGUACUAUAAACUGACAUAAAAAGGUAGAUACAUAAAGCCUGAAGGCUCACACACUGGUGCUAAAAAUUUAUGCGCUUGAACACUAUCAUUUCUGUGUUAUACAGAUUGCUACAUUUUUUGAAAUUCUUUUCAGUCCAUAAGUUCUAAACAGAAUAAGCUCAUGCCAGAAUUGUUAUAUUUUCAAAAGGGCAAGAAAGGUCACUACACCAUAUUAGGGUUUUACCAGCGCUCUUUAAAAGAGCGCUGGUAUAGGUGCAAUCGUACCAGCGCUUUUUUAAAAACCUAUUAUAUAAUCAAAACCCAUAUCUGAUAUGCCAGAUUGUUCAAAAAAUCAAAACCCAUAUCUUUUAGUUUCCAUCGCCCGCUGUUCCAGUUCAGGUUCGCAGUUCGCAAGCUUCAGCCGCUGUCUCUCAACUCUCAAGCUUGCCCCUCUCUUUCUCUACAACUGCUAACUUGUAUGUUUGGGUUUUGUUUUUUUUUUAUUUUUAUUUUUUUGUUUUUUUUUCUAAAUCAAUUAAUCACUGGCUUGUUGUGAUGGAAAAACAUGAGGAGGACGACACUUCCAGGGACCAGAUCAUCGAUAGUUACAUCAAAACCCUAGCUAUGGUUGUUGGAAGAGUGAGUGCUCCGUGGUGUCGGAUGUUGCCGACGCAGACAAAUUUGAAAAUGCCUCCACUUCCUUCCAAUAUGAGGGAAAAGGUUCUUCCUAUUGCAGCAACACAAUCAAAGACCAGUGGGGGUGAAUGAUGGGAGGAGCAUCGAUCCAUCUGAGCUGCAAGAGAAGUUGACCGACUUAGUCAUUCGGACUUCAAGUUAGAUCCCCUUUUAAUUUUUGUUUCUCUGAUGUUUUUGUUUUCAAACUAGAAUGGGGCUUUGAGUUGGAUUUUGAAGUGUGAACUUAUGGUGCUUGUGGGGGCUACUUUCUACUCUUGGGAAGUUUGUUGUCUAUAUUUUUGAAAGAUAAAUAAUAAGCUGACAAUGAAACGAACGGUUAGUGAAGUCGAAAAAAUGAGUGAACAAAAUACCAAAGCUUCAACUUCAAAAUCAUCCCAACCACCUCCGCAGAUUUAUUCAUUCGCACACAUAUAAAUAAGGAUGGUAAUGCUACUGAUGUUGCUGCUUCGGAGAUGAUUGUUCCUUAUAUGAACUAGUACUGAAAACAUAUCAAAGGAAAUGUUUCUCUACCAUAAUGAAUCUGCUAUUGAGGAAGAUGCACAGGUAUAGAUGUUUAUGAUGCACAGAAGAUAUAGAUGUUGAGUCCAUUUUCUAGUCAUGAUGCCAAUUCAAUUAAGGGUAAUUCAAAUCAAAUGGGCAAGAAGACUUGUUGAAGUUGAAGCUAAAGAUGGGGUCGUGGCUGUGCUUUUUGAAUUUCCUUCCCCUUGGAUGGGUCCUUUUUGAAAAACUUGUACUACAUUUGUCAAAAAUUCUUAAUUCUUUUUGUGUGACAUUUUAGUAGCUUUAUCUAGACAAUUUGGAUGGUAUUUUCAUAUUGGCAGGUUAACUUGUGGUUGUAUUAGUAUACAUUUUGACUUUUUGGUUGACAUUUACCAACUUUAUCAAUUAGUAGCCAAUUUCGAUGGUAUUUUUCAUAUUGGCAGCAGGUUAACUUGUGGUUGUAUUAUGUAAAAACAAUUUGGAUGGUAUUUUUAUAUUGAUUUGUGUUA
Cornus florida is the source of this 2350-nucleotide long non-coding RNA. RefSeq lists it as uncharacterized. The record is from RefSeq and is a predicted model, not a curated record. The transcript has 7 exons. NCBI's taxonomy places the organism in Eukaryota, Viridiplantae, Streptophyta, Magnoliopsida, Cornales, Cornaceae.